CAUUUGAGUGAGUGGCGGACGGGUGAGUAACACGUGGGUAACCUGCCCUAAAGUGGGGGAUAACAUUUGGAAACAGAUGCUAAUACCGCAUAAAACCUAGCACCGCAUGGUGCAAGGUUGAAAGAUGGUUUCGGCUAUCACUUUAGGAUGGACCCGCGGUGCAUUAGUUAGUUGGUGAGGUAAAGGCUCACCAAGACCGUGAUGCAUAGCCGACCUGAGAGGGUAAUCGGCCACACUGGGACUGAGACACGGCCCAGACUCCUACGGGAGGCAGCAGUAGGGAAUCUUCCACAAUGGACGAAAGUCUGAUGGAGCAACGCCGCGUGAGUGAAGAAGGUUUUCGGAUCGUAAAACUCUGUUGUUGGAGAAGAACGUAUUUGAUAGUAACUGAUCAGGUAGUGACGGUAUCCAACCAGAAAGCCACGGCUAACUACGUGCCAGCAGCCGCGGUAAUACGUAGGUGGCAAGCGUUGUCCGGAUUUAUUGGGCGUAAAGCGAGCGCAGGCGGUUUCUUAAGUCUGAUGUGAAAGCCUUCGGCUCAACCGAAGAAGUGCAUCGGA
Molecule: ribosomal RNA, 560 nt
Filed under: Latilactobacillus curvatus
Lineage: Bacteria; Bacillati; Bacillota; Bacilli; Lactobacillales; Lactobacillaceae
Description: bacterial SSU rRNA
Rfam family: Bacterial small subunit ribosomal RNA
Source: RNAcentral